UGAUGAAAAUGUGAUUAUAAUUUGCUUAAUCAUAUCGAGGAAUAAGAGAUAUUUCCAAUAAAUGUAUUGCCUUUUCAUAUUUAGCCGUAUGCUAUGUCUGCCGAAACGCCAACAGAUCCGACGCUUUCUGUGAGCAAACGGAGAGCCCGGGGAAAAGAAACUCUAAACCUUUAACUUUCCCUCUUAAUCCAAAAAAAAAUUGACAAAUAUUAAGUAAAGUUGAUUCAUUGGAAGAAAAUGAUUGAUCUUAUGUGUAUAUUGAUAAAGCAACGUAACAAAUUAAGGUCUAUGUUUACAUACAUAUGUACUUAUGUAUAUGUUUCUGUACAUCCCAAAACAUUCCUGCAGUUCCACAAUUCAUAGCUACUAAUAAACCAGAUAGAGGGAAUUCAUUCAGCACAGCGGACUCUCUCGCUCUCUCAUUUCAUUUAAAAAUGUAAAGUGAUGAAAAUGUGAUUAUAAUUUGCUUAAUCAUAUCGAGGAAUAAGAGAUAUUUCCAAUAAAUGUAUUGCCUUUUCAUAUUUAGCCGUAUGCUAUGUCUGCCGAAACGCCAACAGAUCCGACGCUUUCUGUGAGCAAACGGAGAGCCCGGGGAAAAGAAACUCUAAACCUUUAACUUUCCCUCUUAAUCCAAAAAAAAAUUGACAAAUAUUAAGUAAAGUUGAUUCAUUGGAAGAAAAUGAUUGAUCUUAUGUGUAUAUUGAUAAAGCAACGUAACAAAUUAAGGUCUAUGUUUACAUACAUAUGUACUUAUGUAUAUGUUUCUGUACAUCCCAAAACAUUCCUGCAGUUCCACAAUUCAUAGCUACUAAUAAACCAGAUAGAGGGAAUUCAUUCAGCACAGCGGACUCUCUCGCUCUCUCAUUUCAUUUAAAAAUGUAAAGUGAUGAAAAUGUGAUUAUAAUUUGCUUAACAUAUCGAGGAAUAAUAGAUAUUUCCAAUAAAUGUAUUGCCUUUUCAUAUUUAGCCGUAUGCUAUGUCUGCCGAAACGCCAUCAGAGCCGACGCUUUCUGUGAGCAAACGUAGAGCCCGGGGAAAAGAAACUCUAAACCUUUAACUUUCCCUCUUAAUCCAAAAAAAAAUUGGGCUCAAGGCUCCAAAGCUCAGGCAUUACGCACCCCAUAAAUUAAAAAAUUGGAACUUUCUGCUGAAUCAUUGAUGCUUAUAAUGGAUGUACAGACAUCGUCACAUCAUAGCAACGGGCUCGGGACAC
Drosophila erecta is the source of this 1213-nucleotide long non-coding RNA. RefSeq lists it as uncharacterized. The transcript has 2 exons. The record is from RefSeq and is a predicted model, not a curated record. NCBI's taxonomy places the organism in Eukaryota, Metazoa, Arthropoda, Insecta, Diptera, Drosophilidae.